GGCCGCAAGGUUAAAACUCAAAUGAAUUGACGGGGGCCCGCACAAGCGGUGGAGCAUGUGGUUUAAUUCGAUGCAACGCGAAGAACCUUACCUGGUCUUGACAUCCACAGAAGAAUCCAGAGAUGGAUUUGUGCCUUCGGGAACUGUGAGACAGGUGCUGCAUGGCUGUCGUCAGCUCGUGUUGUGAAAUGUUGGGUUAAGUCCCGCAACGAGCGCAACCCUUAUCCUUUGUUGCCAGCGGUUAGGCCGGGAACUCAAAGGAGACUGCCAGU
Molecule: ribosomal RNA, 272 nt
Filed under: Salmonella enterica subsp. enterica serovar Goldcoast
Lineage: Bacteria; Pseudomonadati; Pseudomonadota; Gammaproteobacteria; Enterobacterales; Enterobacteriaceae
Description: partial 16S ribosomal RNA
Rfam family: Bacterial small subunit ribosomal RNA
Source: RNAcentral